UUGCUUUGACAGCACAUAUACUAAAAUCAGAAUAAUACAGAGAAGAUGAGCAUGGUCCCUGCACAAGGAUGACAUGCAAAUUUGUGAAGCAUUCCAUAUUUUU
Molecule: small nuclear RNA, 103 nt
Filed under: Pongo abelii (Sumatran orangutan)
Lineage: Eukaryota; Metazoa; Chordata; Mammalia; Primates; Hominidae
Source: RNAcentral